UUGCACUUGUCGGGGAAGGGUGAGAACCUUCGAUUAAGGUUCGACUCGAGCGAAAGCGAGAGAACGUUGCCAACGGCAACGGCCCGUAGGGUGAGGAGCGAAGCGACGAAUAAUCCUUCCCCCACCACCA
This 130-nucleotide small RNA is filed under the name Salmonella enterica. RNAcentral describes it as "RtT sRNA". It matches the Rfam family "RtT RNA". Rfam says of the family: This family represents a bacterial cis-regulatory element known as RtT RNA. The exact function of RtT is unknown although it is thought that it may be involved in changing the cellular response in relation to amino acid starvation. Lineage: Bacteria; Pseudomonadati; Pseudomonadota; Gammaproteobacteria; Enterobacterales; Enterobacteriaceae. RNAcentral also lists the same sequence under 2 other names. The record is from RNAcentral.